This 254-nucleotide ribosomal RNA is filed under the name uncultured bacterium. RNAcentral describes it as "partial 16S ribosomal RNA". It matches the Rfam family "Bacterial small subunit ribosomal RNA", at positions 524 to 776 of the family's 1533-position model. The record is from RNAcentral.
UACGUAGGGUGCAAGCGUUUGUCCGGAAUUAUUGGGCGUAAAGAGCUCGUAGGCGGUUUGUCGCGUCUGCUGUGAAAACCCGAGGCUCAACCUCGGGCCUGCAGUGGGUACGGGCAGACUAGAGUGCGGUAGGGGAGAUUGGAAUUCCUGGUGUAGCGGUGGAAUGCGCAGAUAUCAGGAGGAACACCGGUGGCGAAGGCGGGUCUCUGGGCCGUAACUGACGCUGAGGAGCGAAAGCGUGGGGAGCGAACAGG